CCACCAUGUUCUACGUGCCUCGGUGUAGGGAUAUCCGUGUUUGAACCCGCUUGCCGAUCACGCAUUUGUAGCUUUGUACUGACAUAGUCAUGUUGAGUUU
Haliotis rubra (blacklip abalone) is the source of this 100-nucleotide long non-coding RNA. RefSeq lists it as uncharacterized. NCBI's taxonomy places the organism in Eukaryota, Metazoa, Mollusca, Gastropoda, Lepetellida, Haliotidae. The transcript has 4 exons. The record is from RefSeq and is a predicted model, not a curated record.